CCAAGGCCACGUGAGAAGGUCGGGGACCAGCUCUUGGGCUCAUGGACGGCGGUAGGCUAACACAUCUCACAGAGCAAAGCAAGAUUUCCAGAACCUGGAAGUAGUGGUCCAGGACCCUGGAGAGAGGGCUUACUGCCCCGAUGCAAUGAAGCCACCCAGAAUGGAGUUGAGCUCCCAGGGAUGCUGAGUCCUGCACCAGCGGAGACAAUUUCAACUUGGAGAAAUCCAUCUCACUUAGGCAAUUUCGCUUUCAAGCCCAAAGCACCCCCCCUUCUGCCGACACCCCGCGCAUCAUCCAUCUCCUGACACCAAAGACGCAUCCAGCUAGUCUGUGCAGCCCAGCACCGCUAAGUUCUGGGGGCCACGGCGCUGUCCCCAGGAAGAGGGCCUCAUGCACAGCCCGGACCUCUCCAACCAAGAUGCAGCCAGCUCCGCUGCCAGACCAGCUGCGCCAAAAGAUUGGCGACACCCCGACGCGAUCAAGCCCGCACCAUCA
Jaculus jaculus (lesser Egyptian jerboa) is the source of this 496-nucleotide long non-coding RNA. RefSeq lists it as uncharacterized. Lineage: Eukaryota; Metazoa; Chordata; Mammalia; Rodentia; Dipodidae. The transcript is spliced from 3 exons. The record is from RefSeq and is a predicted model, not a curated record.